CAGCCGCCGCGGGAAUACGUAGGGUGCGAGCGUCAAUCGGAAUUACUGGGCGUAAAGCGUGCGCAGGCGGCUUUGCAAGACAGAUGUGAAAUCCCCGGGCUCAACCUGGGAACUGCAUUUGUGACUGCAAGGCUAGAGUGCGGCAGAGGGAGAUGGAAUUCCGCGUGUAGCAGUGAAAUGCGUAGAUAUGCGGAGGAACACCGAUGGCGAAGGCAAUCUCCUGGGCCUGCACUGACGCUCAUGCACGAAAGCGUGGGGAGCAAACAGGAUUAGAUACCCCUGUAGUCCCUGUCUCUUAUAC
RNAcentral lists this ribosomal RNA (301 nucleotides) under uncultured bacterium. RNAcentral describes it as "partial 16S ribosomal RNA". It matches the Rfam family "Bacterial small subunit ribosomal RNA", at positions 509 to 807 of the family's 1533-position model. The record is from RNAcentral.